Molecule: transfer RNA, 75 nt
Filed under: Salmonella enterica subsp. enterica serovar Hillingdon
Lineage: Bacteria; Pseudomonadati; Pseudomonadota; Gammaproteobacteria; Enterobacterales; Enterobacteriaceae
Description: tRNA-Arg
Rfam family: tRNA
About the family: Transfer RNA (tRNA) molecules are approximately 80 nucleotides in length. Their secondary structure includes four short double-helical elements and three loops (D, anti-codon, and T loops).
Source: RNAcentral
GCAUCCGUAGCUCAGCUGGAUAGAGUACUCGGCUACGAACCGACGCGGUCGGAGGUUCGAAUCCUCCCGGAUGCU